Non-coding RNA from Callithrix jacchus (white-tufted-ear marmoset), 692 nucleotides. Lineage: Eukaryota; Metazoa; Chordata; Mammalia; Primates; Cebidae. The record is from RefSeq and is a predicted model, not a curated record.
UCAAGGUUCAGCAGGGUUUCAUUUCUGGUGAGGCUUCUCUUCCUGGAUUGAAGACAGCCACCUUUUUACUCUGUCUUAAUAAGGAGAGAGAAAAGUGUCUGGUCUCUUCCUCUUCUUAUAAUAGCACAAAUCUCCUCAUUAUGACUUCAUCAAGCCCUAACUACCUCCAAAUUCCCCACCUUCAAAUACCAUCACAUUGUGGGUUAGGGUUUUAAAGUAUCAAUUUAGGGGACACAAACAUUCAUCCAUAGCACAAGGAGAAUUGAUUAGACCUCAAUUCAUUUCUGUGCAGAUUUUGGGAAUGUAGUGCACAUUUGACGACUCUGAAGGGAAGCAGCCAGCAGAUGAAAACGAAUAAAACUUUCCAAGUUGCACAUCCAUGGAAGAAAGUCCAACAAUCAAGCUUGAGAAACCUAUUCACCUCCCCUUCACUAAGAUUGUCCAGGGGCAGAGAAAAUCUGGAAGGAAUACAAUGCCUUUAAAUCUUCAUUGCUUAGAGGCUUACCGAAGGAAUGGGGUAUCCAGUGAUUUAACAGGUCAAGUGCUGUGCUGUACUGAUUGAUAGAUGUCUCCAGAAGGAAGUUUGACAAUGGACCACCUAGAAGCAGAUGUGCCUCAAGUGAAGAAGUCUGCAGCAGAACCUCCACUUGGCCUAUGAUAGAUACGCUGCUGGAGAAGAAAUCAACCUCCUG